Molecule: ribosomal RNA, 406 nt
Filed under: uncultured bacterium
Lineage: Bacteria
Description: partial 16S ribosomal RNA
Rfam family: Bacterial small subunit ribosomal RNA
Source: RNAcentral
AUUGAACGCUGGCGGCAGGCCUAACACAUGCAAGUCGAGCGAGCGGCGGCCGGGUGAGUAAUGUCUGGGAACCUGCCUGAUGGAGGGGGAUACCUACUGGAAACGGUAGCUAAUACCGCAUACCAUCAGAUGUGCCCAGAUGGGAUUAGCUAGUAGGUGGGGUAACGGCUCACCUAGGCGACGAUCCCUAGCUGGUCUGAGAGGAUGACCAGCCACACUGGAACUGAGACAAGGUCAAGACUCCGACGGGCGGUAGCAGUGGGGAAUAGUGCACAAUGGGCGCAAGCCUGAUGCAGCCAUGCCGCGUGUGUGAAGAAGGCCUUCGGGUUGUAAAGCACUUUCAGCGGGGAGGCGUUACCCGCAGAAGAAGCACCGGCUAACUCCGUGCCAGCAGCCGCGGUAAUAC